UGGAUCUGUGUAAAGUUUCCCUAAAUUUUGGAUGUUGUAAUUCUAAAUUUUUGAAUGUUUUAAUCCUAAAAUUUGAAUGUUGGAGUUUAGGCUUGUAAUAUAAGGUGGAUCUAUGUAAAGCUUCCCAUAUGUUUUUUAUAAGAAUUAAUGUCACACCCCCAAACCAGAACGGCGGAAACGUUCGGGGGCGGAGGACGUCGUAUUCAGUAUCAUAACAGUUCAUAGAGAGGAAAGUACACACCACCAUAUAUAUUAAAGUUUCCAAAAUGUUUACAUAAUCGUAUUCGUUACAUGUUCAAAAGAUAAAUACGUAAACAUCCUUCAAAAGAAGUAAUUAACGUCAGCAUGUUAAUCCCCAAAAGUUAAUUUCCAAAUCUGCUUAGCGGUUCCCUGAGAAUACAAGUUAUUUCAAAGAAAAAGUGUCAACAAUUAAGUUGGUGAGUUCAUGAGUAGUGUUUUGAGAAAAUGUACGCCAUUCGAAAGUUCGUGUAUGUUUUCCAGAAAACGCAAUAUUUCAAAUGUAAAGAGUUAUGAUUCGUUGUGUUUUCCAAGAAAAACUCUUAUUUUCUUAUAAAAGUAUGAAAUGCAUAUGAAUGUUCGUGUUAUAAGUUGUAACUAAUUGUACCGAGAAAAUCCCUUAUUUUCCUAUUAGUUGUUUGGUUUGUAUACAGGAAAAACCCUUAUUUUCCUAACAUAACUGGCAGUCUCUAAGACCGAAAAUCGCAAGCAACCGACGUGCUUGAAAGGUGUGGCAUAGUUUUAUAUAAUAAAGCUAUACGAAGAUCGCACUUGUUAGAUGAAGAAUAGUUUUAAUAGCUACUCGUUCAUAAAAGCAUAAUACCAUAAUAAUUGUAUAUCCGGUGAGUUUUAUAACCAUACUAAACAUAAUAUGCCUGUAGCGACGUUCUUCAGGCGUCGUAGCGUUAUGACAACUGUCACCCCAAAAGACGGACUGUAGCUAACAGUCAGGGCGCGGGAUCAUGACUUCCCGUAUAGAUCUAUACACAUUUGACACGUUCUCCGAACGGGAGACUCUGGUUAUAGACAGGACUUGUAGCGUUACCUUUUAUCAAAAAGGCAGUGUUUGAAGAUGUACACGUCUCAUGGAUUCUCAACUAAGUCUGUAUUAAAGUAGUAGUUUUGUAUGCAAAGUUUAUCCUUUUUCACAAUGUUUGACAAAGCAUAAAUCAUAAGUUCUUUGAAUGUAUAAAACGGUUUAGCAACGAAGAAUACUUUGGAAUUUCUAAAUACUUUGUAUAAAUCUAGUGCAUGCGAAGUAUGACAAGAGUUUUCACAUAGUAGUAAUAAAUCACAAGUGAUUCAUUUGAUAAAAACGAGUAAAGUUAAAUUUUUGAUGUAGAAGACAAGUUUGUAAACAAAACAUAUAUAUGUAUAUGGUUAUAUAUAUGUAUAAGUUUUAAAGGAUGAUUUGGCAUGUUUCGUAAUUGUUGUUCAUAUUCUUACGUUUUUAUUAGAAACUUUGCAUGAAAUAAUCCUUAAGUUUGAUACUAAAGACCUUUUUGUACUUAUCACUUUUGUAAAAAUGGUAAUUAAACAUAUUUAAAUGAUUGUGUUUUAACUUCCUUAAUGUAUAAACAUUACUCAAAAAUGUUAGAAGGUGUUAAUAAAUCUAUAAACCACUUUUGACAGUUUUACCCUUUACUGUCCCUGUUUUUAGAAAACUCAUAGAAAAAUCAUCGUAAGUCAAAAACUGAAUCCGUCACCUCUGAGAGUUUAUAAAAUAAGUCUACUUUGCUCCUAAUUUUUAUUAUGAUUUUUAGUGGUCUCAAACUAGUGUGAAAAUGAACAUCUUCACAGACUGGUCCGAAAUCACUUCUGAAAUGACAGGCAGUUUUAUAAAAAUCGCCAUAAAUUGUAGAAAAAUCGUAUGAACGCGUGCGAGUAGUCAUUAGAAAGGUAUAAACUUGAACUAUUUGCAUAUUGUACAGUUUUGAAAGAUAUUAAGUUUAAGAUGGUCAAAACAGUCCGUGAACAGGACUCAACUUUUCUGUAGAAAGCUGUCAUUUAAAUUUGAGUUAUGUUUAGUGUUCUAACUUGUAUUCCCCCCCUUAAAACUUGAAUAAAACAUGAAAAUGUAGGGGUAUGAACUCACCUUAUGUGAAUACUUGAAGAAUGGAAAGUUGAAGAUGAACUUUUGGUUGUUGGUUUGAUGCUCCAAAACAGCCACUCUUUUGGCUAUGUUGCUGUCACGAAAAUUUCACAGCAAAAGUGCAAGAAAAAGGGUAGUUUACUC
Molecule: long non-coding RNA, 2254 nt
Filed under: Lactuca sativa (garden lettuce)
Lineage: Eukaryota; Viridiplantae; Streptophyta; Magnoliopsida; Asterales; Asteraceae
Description: long non-coding RNA (LSAT_LNC006962)
Source: RNAcentral